This 1771-nucleotide long non-coding RNA is filed under the name Ananas comosus (pineapple). Its description in RNAcentral is "long non-coding RNA (ACOM_LNC022342)". The record is from RNAcentral. Lineage: Eukaryota; Viridiplantae; Streptophyta; Magnoliopsida; Poales; Bromeliaceae.
AAGAAACUCUAAUCAAGAUUUACACUACUAGAUCUAAGCUGCUCAACUAUAUGCUCAAAAUCAUGAGGCUGGUGAGACAUGGACUUAUUAUCUACCAACUUAAAUUUAAUUAGAUCUGAUACUUGGUAUCUCUUCUGGGUUGGAUCAACCUGUCCAUACUUGUUUUCUAAGGAUGUCUAAAGUUUCCUAACUGUUUUAGCACUACAGUAUAUGUCAUAUAAUUUGUCAAAUAAGGUACUAAGAAUUCGGUUUAAAUAAUGGUAGUUAAUCAUGUUAGGGUCAACAGGAGAUACGAUUCUAGCUGUAGAUGUAGUUGCAGUUUCAGUAGAGGGAGGAGUGGAUCCGGCCUGGGCUUGGCUUCUAGUAACCGGUCUAUUGACCGCAUCAGUCUGGGUUGCACCUUUAAGUGCAGAUCCAAAGCCAUUCACGACAAAAUCCGAGAUAGCAGAAACUAGUCCAAGUGUGGUGAGCCAGAAUCUCAUUUGGUUCUGCCAUCUCUUAAAAUUAGGACAAUCAAAAGUAAAAGGUUUUGUCGAAUCCUCUAUAAUAAAAAGUUUGUUGACAAAUAAUCCUACUGUUAUGUUAUAAAAUAGUUUUAAAUUUUAGAAGAAUAACAGUAAGAUAUUCUACGUUUUAUUCAGAGAGAUUACGAAAUAUAUAUAUUGAUUUGUAGAAAAAAAAUAUUUUAAUUACUGUAAUAAAAGAAACAGAAAGAUUAAAUCAAUUUCGCUUCUAAAUUGUUGGAAAAUCUUUUCUAUCUUUUAUUAAAAUAUUCUUUAAAAAUAAUUCAAAAGUUUAAUUUCAUUUGUAGAAAAAUUACGAGAAAGAAAUUAAAUAAUAAAUACUCUAAAGAAAAAGAUUAGAAAAGACCUGUGGAUCGAGGCAUGUACAGUACUGUCCUAAAAGCGAAAUUGCCCUUCCACGUGCAAGGCUUCCCAGCAAUUACUUUCAGCGAUACAACGACUACGUUCCACCCCGUCGGCACGCUUUCAAAGUGGCGUAAGACGAACCCAACAAGCUUCAUAUCCAGCAAAAUAUGAGAAAGCUCGGUGAAAAUCGGCAUAAAAGAUCAAUAGCGAGAAAGCAGAAAAAGACGAGGUAGAGGAUAGGGUUUUUGCUCUUAGGUAUACUUGGGUUCCGGUUAAACUCACGCAACCUCCUCCAAUAUAUAUAACCAAGGUAAGAAUCUUGCUUCAACACAUCAGUUUCGUGUGAAAUAAGAUAAGCCUAAUAUUAUACGGAUACAAAUACGGCUUAGGAUUAGGAUAAAAAUAAAAUCGAAAAAAUAAAAAUAAAAUAAAUCGGGUGUAUGAACCGAGAGCGCCAUCGCCCGCCCAGCCCGACUCGUGCUUGUGUUUAAACGAGAGCAUAACUCUCAUUUUCUCUCAAGCACUAAUUUGAGAAUAGAGAAAUAUAUAAAUACCAACAACACCCUUUUAGUUUUCAAUAUGGGGCUAAACAUCACAUAUUGAAACUUCAGUUGGGUUCGCAGGUAAGGCUCAUUAAGUAUUGGGCUAUCCACAAGAGGCUUAAUAAGUUUUAAAUCACCAAAAAUCCAAUAAAAUCUAACAGCAACUGUCUUUUCAUUCAGGACCUCACGAAAUACCUCAUCAGAUUAAGAUGUUGGUCCUGUCAAAUUUUUAGAUCCCAAAUUUCACCAUAAUCUGAAUCAACAAGGUGAUAAAAAAGCAAGGAAACCAAUUUGUUGAAGUAAAUUGAUAAAAAAAAAAAUGGAUCAAAAAAUUUAAAAUAGAAAAAAAAAAUCAAAAUU